This 497-nucleotide ribosomal RNA is filed under the name uncultured bacterium. RNAcentral's name for it is "partial 16S ribosomal RNA". It matches the Rfam family "Bacterial small subunit ribosomal RNA", at positions 28 to 507 of the family's 1533-position model. The record is from RNAcentral.
GAUGAACGCUGGCGGCGUGCCUAAUACAUGCAAGUCGAGCGAACAGACGAGGGGCUUGCUCCUCUGACGUUAGCGGCGGACGGGUGAGUAACACGUGGAUAACCUACCUAUAAGACUGGGAUAACUUCGGGAAACCGGAGCUAAUACCGGAUAAUAUAUUGAACCGCAUGGUUCAAUAGUGAAAGACGGUUUUGCUGUCACUUAUAGAUGGAUCCGCGCCGCAUUAGCUAGUUGGUAAGGUAACGGCUUACCAAGGCAACGAUGCGUAGCCGACCUGAGAGGGUGAUCGGCCACACUGGAACUGAGACACGGUCCAGACUCCUACGGGAGGCAGCAGUAGGGAAUCUUCCGCAAUGGGCGAAAGCCUGACGGAGCAACGCCGCGUGAGUGAUGAAGGUCUUCGGAUCGUAAAACUCUGUUAUUAGGGAAGAACAAGUGUGUAAGUAACUAUGCACGUCUUGACGGUACCUAAUCAGAAAGCCACGGCUAACUACGUG